UACAGAGGGGGCGAGCGUUGUUCGGAAUUACUGGGCGUAAAGGGCGCGUAGGCGGCUUGGUCAGUCCCGUGUGAAAUCCCUCGGCUCAACUGAGGAACUGCACGGGAAACUGCCUGGCUUGAGUUCGGGAGAGGUGAGUGGAACUGCGAGUGUAGAGGUGAAAUUCGUAGAUAUUCGCAAGAACACCAGUGGCGAAGGCGGCUCACUGGCCCGAUACUGACGCUGAGGUGCGAAAGCGUGGGGAGCAAACAGG
RNAcentral lists this ribosomal RNA (253 nucleotides) under uncultured bacterium. RNAcentral's name for it is "partial 16S ribosomal RNA". It matches the Rfam family "Bacterial small subunit ribosomal RNA", at positions 524 to 776 of the family's 1533-position model. The record is from RNAcentral.